CAGUCGCCGCGGGGAAUACGGAGGGGGCUAGCGUUGUUCGGAAUUACUGGGCGUAAAGCGCACGUAGGCGGCUUGGUAAGUUAGAGGUGAAAGCCCGGAGCUCAACUCCGGAAUUGCCUUUAAGACUGCCGAGCUAGCAGGUGAGAGAGGUAAGUGGAAUUCCGAGUGUAGAGGUGAAAUUCGUAGAUAUUCGGAAGAACACCAGUGGCGAAGGCGGCUUACUGGCUCAUACUGGACGCUGAGGUGCGAAAGCGUGGGGAGCAAACAGGAUUAGAUACCCCUGUAGUCCCUGUCUCUUAUA
Molecule: ribosomal RNA, 301 nt
Filed under: uncultured bacterium
Lineage: Bacteria
Description: partial 16S ribosomal RNA
Rfam family: Bacterial small subunit ribosomal RNA
Source: RNAcentral